This 576-nucleotide ribosomal RNA is filed under the name Salmonella enterica subsp. enterica serovar Mississippi. RNAcentral's name for it is "partial 23S ribosomal RNA". It matches the Rfam family "Bacterial large subunit ribosomal RNA", at positions 711 to 1283 of the family's 2925-position model. The record is from RNAcentral. Lineage: Bacteria; Pseudomonadati; Pseudomonadota; Gammaproteobacteria; Enterobacterales; Enterobacteriaceae.
AGACCCGAAACCCGGUGAUCUAGCCAUGGGCAGGUUGAAGGUUGGGUAACACUAACUGGAGGACCGAACCGACUAAUGUUGAAAAAUUAGCGGAUGACCUGUGGCUGGGGGUGAAAGGCCAAUCAAACCGGGAGAUAGCUGGUUCUCCCCGAAAGCUAUUUAGGUAGCGCCUCGUGAAUUCAUCUCCGGGGGUAGAGCACUGUUUCGGCUAGGGGGCCAUCCCGGCUUACCAACCCGAUGCAAACUGCGAAUACCGGAGAAUGUUAUCACGGGAGACACACGGCGGGUGCUAACGUCCGUCGUGAAGAGGGAAACAACCCAGACCGCCAGCUAAGGUCCCAAAGUCAUGGUUAAGUGGGAAACGAUGUGGGAAGGCCCAGACAGCCAGGAUGUUGGCUUAGAAGCAGCCAUCAUUUAAAGAAAGCGUAAUAGCUCACUGGUCGAGUCGGCCUGCGCGGAAGAUGUAACGGGGCUAAACCAUGCACCGAAGCUGCGGCAGCGACGCUUAUGCGUUGCUGGGUAGGGGAGCGUUCUGUAAGCCUGCGAAGGUGGCCUGUGAGGGUUGCUGGAGGUAUC